This 490-nucleotide ribosomal RNA is filed under the name Umbilicaria rossica. RNAcentral's name for it is "eukaryotic LSU rRNA". The stretch from base 173 to 326 matches the Rfam family "5.8S ribosomal RNA". Lineage: Eukaryota; Fungi; Ascomycota; Lecanoromycetes; Umbilicariales; Umbilicariaceae. The record is from RNAcentral.
CCGGGAUCGGGCCCUCCGGGCCCGAAGCUCUCACCCUUUUGUGUACCGCACCCCUGUUGCUUUGGCGGGCCCGCUGGGGAGACCCACCGCCGGCUGACGAGCCGGCGAGCGCCCGCCAGAGACCCCCAAAACCCCGUUUGUCGGUGACGUCUGAGUCCCACACAAUCGUUAAAACUUUCAACAACGGAUCUCUUGGCUCUGGCAUCGAUGAAGAACGCAGCGAAAUGCGAUAAGUAAUGUGAAUUGCAGAAUUCAGUGAAUCAUCGAAUCUUUGAACGCACAUUGCGCCCCCCGGCAUUCCGGGGGGCAUGCCUGUUCGAGCGUCAUUACACCCCUCAAGCUCCGCUUGGUGUUGGGCCCCGUCCCCCGGGACGGGCCCGAAAGUAAGUGGCGGCGCGGCCUGACUUCGAGCGUAGUAGCCUAAAACCCGCUCCGGAAGCCCUUCAGGUCGCCCGGCCAGACAACCUCACUGUACACGCUACGGUUGACU